This 1591-nucleotide unclassified non-coding RNA is filed under the name Eurytemora carolleeae. RNAcentral's name for it is "twinfilin-1". The record is from RNAcentral. Lineage: Eukaryota; Metazoa; Arthropoda; Copepoda; Calanoida; Temoridae.
ACAAAAGAUGUUGUACGCGUCUACAAAAGCAACAUUUAAGAAAGAAUUUGGUCAGGGACAAAUAAAAGACGAAUACUUCGCUACCUCAAAGGAUGAGAUAACCUUGUCCGGGUACCGGCGGCAUCUAGCGGCAGAUGCCGGACCUGGUCCUCUCUCUAAAGAGGAGGAGGAGAUGAAGGAAAUUAAAGAAUCAGAAACAAGGGUUGAUAUAGGAGUGGAUACUAAACAACAAACUCUUGGCUCCAUGGCAUUUCCUAUGGAGCGGAGUGUGCUCCAAUCUUUAGAGGAGUUCUUAAAGAAGGGUCACGAUUAUAUUCAAUUAUCUAUAGAUCUGAAAAACGAAUCAAUUUUGUUAAAGAAGAAAGGAAUGUUUACAAUUGAAGAGCUUCCUAGUCUAGUUCCUGAGGAUGAGGCAAGAUAUCAUUUAUUUAGAUACAAGCAUACUUUCCAGGGUGAAGCAACUUCUAGUGUAGUGUUUAUCUACUCUAUGCCUGGAUACAGUGUAUCUAUAAAGGAAAGAAUGCUCUACUCUAGUUGUAAAAACUCGGUGGUUGAGAUCAUUGAGAAACAUUACAAUAUAGACAUAGCUAAGAAGAUGGAGAUAGAAAGUGGAUCAGAACUAACCGAACAGUUUAUUAUGAGUGAGAUCCAUCCUGUGGAGAUAAGUUCUAAACCUAAAUUCUCUAAACCUGCUCCUCCUAGUAGAGGGAACAAAAGAAUCACCAAGGCUCCUCCAUCCUAGGUUUAUUCAACCUAAACUCUACAAUGAGACCUAUAAAACUGUGGAAUAUGAAGACGACUGAUAAAAUUAAAUUAUGGUUUUAAAUAGUCCCAAAGAAUAUGAAACACAGCAAUUAAGCAGUUUGCUACUUACCUGAGGGUUCAGUGAGAAAACAAUCCUUUUGGUUGAACAUAAAAAUUUUAAAUUUAUAAUUUCAUAAUUUAAAAUCGCCGAUGACAUUGCUCAAACACAGGCUCUUAAGGUGAUAAGAAAAGAAUAAAAGAGCAAUUUUAAUAAAAAAUAUCCUAAAUUUUAAAAACUUGAAAAAUGUUUCAUUUUCUUUUAAAAAAUACUUUUUUUAAAUGAACCAUGAUAUAUGUUCCAGUGUAAACUGAAGGGUCUCAAUUUAUCAAUAAGACCAAAUUUAAAAGCAACAUACUUUUUGUGAUUGACUUGUUAAAUGUUAGUAAUAGUAUUUAUUUUAUUUAUUUUCAUGGUUUAUCUGAUCACGUUGAUUACUGCUGAUGAUCAUUUGAUCAAACAUGAUCACACCUAAUCACUUAUAAUCGCACCCGAUCACCUUCCAUAUGUAAAUGUAAUGACAAUUAAAUAUACAAUGUGUGAUAACAAGCUUUGAUAGAUUUCUGCUUGAAAAAGAUUUCAUAAUUUUAUGUUUAACGGCAUUAUUAUUUUUCAAAAUGGCAGAAUUUAUUUGAUAAAUUUGUGCUUCAUUAGUUUUUAAUAAUUUUGAAAUUCUAUUUUUUAAAUAUUUGUUCGACUCAAGUAAUCGAUUAAUUACUUUAACGACCUGUCAACUAUUUGAAUAUAUGUUGCUCAUUCAUCAAAAUAAAGAUACAUAACCUUGCAAAA